RNAcentral lists this RNase P RNA (348 nucleotides) under bovine gut metagenome. RNAcentral describes it as "Bacterial RNase P class A". It matches the Rfam family "Bacterial RNase P class A". Rfam says of the family: Ribonuclease P (RNase P) is a ubiquitous endoribonuclease, found in archaea, bacteria and eukarya as well as chloroplasts and mitochondria. The record is from RNAcentral.
GCCAGACGAUCGCAGGCGGCAACGCCUGAGGAAAGUCCGAGCACCACAGGGCAGGGUGCCGGUUAACUGCCGGUGGAGGCGACUUUAAGGAAAGUGCAACAGAGAUAUACCGCGGCUCUCUCUGAGAGGCGUAAGGGUGGAAAGGCGAGGUAAGAGCUCACCCGCGGCCUGGCGACUGGCCCGCGCUGUAAACCCCACCUGGUGCAAGAUUGAUAGGGAGGCAAGGGCGAAGCCCCUCGGGGCUCUGUCCGGCGGCGGCCCGUCGCGCCUCCGGGUAAUCGCUUGAGCCUGCUGGCAACUGCAGGCCCAGACAGAUGAUCGUCCAAUACAGAACUCGGCUUACAGACG